UGGGGAAUAUUGCACAAUGGGCGCAAGCCUGAUGCAGCAACGCCGCGUGAGGGAUGACGGCCUUCGGGUUGUAAACCUCUUUUAGUAGGGAAGAAGCGAAAGUGACGGUACCUGCAGAAAAAGCACCGGCUAACUACGUGCCAGCAGCCGCGGUAAUACGUAGGGUGCGAGCGUUGUCCGGAAUUAUUGGGCGUAAAGAGCUCGUAGGCGGUCUGUCGCGUCUGCUGUGAAAACCCGAGGCUCAACCUCGGGCCUGCAGUGGGUACGGGCAGACUAGAGUGCGGUAAGGGAGAAUGGAAUUCCUGGUGUAGCGGUGGAAUGCGCAGAUAUCAGGAGGAACACCGAUGGCGAAGGCAGUUCUCUGGGCCGUAACUGACGCUGAGGAGCGAAAGCGUGGGGAGCGAACAGGAUUAGAUACCCUGGUAGUCCACGCCGUAAACGUUGGGCGCUAGAUGUGGGGACCAUUCCACGGUUUCCGUGUCGCAGCUAACGCA
This 494-nucleotide ribosomal RNA is filed under the name uncultured bacterium. Its description in RNAcentral is "partial 16S ribosomal RNA". It matches the Rfam family "Bacterial small subunit ribosomal RNA", at positions 355 to 859 of the family's 1533-position model. The record is from RNAcentral.